GUGAGGAAUAUUGGUCAAUGGGCGCAGGCCUGAACCAGCCAAGUAGCGUGAAGGAUGACUGCCCUAUGGGUUGUAAACUUCUUUUAUAAAGGAAUAAAGUCGGGUAUGUAUACCCGUUUGCAUGUACUUUAUGAAUAAGGAUCGGCUAACUCCGUGCCAGCAGCCGCGGUAAUACGGAGGAUCCGAGCGUUAUCCGGAUUUAUUGGGUUUAAAGGGAGCGUAGAUGGAUGUUUAAGUCAGUUGUGAAAGUUUGCGGCUCAACCGUAAAAUUGCAGUUGAUACUGGAUAUCUUGAGUGCAGUUGAGGCAGGCGGAAUUCGUGGUGUAGCGGUGAAAUGCUUAGAUAUCACGAAGAACUCCGAUUGCGAAGGCAGCCUGCUAAGCUGCAACUGACAUUGAGGCUCGAAAGUGUGGGUAUCAAACAGGAUUAGAAACCCUUGUAGUCC
RNAcentral lists this ribosomal RNA (445 nucleotides) under uncultured bacterium. RNAcentral's name for it is "partial 16S ribosomal RNA". It matches the Rfam family "Bacterial small subunit ribosomal RNA", at positions 354 to 796 of the family's 1533-position model. The record is from RNAcentral.